This 253-nucleotide ribosomal RNA is filed under the name uncultured bacterium. RNAcentral's name for it is "partial 16S ribosomal RNA". It matches the Rfam family "Bacterial small subunit ribosomal RNA", at positions 524 to 776 of the family's 1533-position model. The record is from RNAcentral.
UACAGAGGUCUCAAGCGUUGUUCGGAAUCACUGGGCGUAAAGGGUGCGUAGGUGGCGUGGCAAGUCAGAUGUGAAAGCCCGGGGCUCAACCCCGGAACUGCAUCCGAUACUGCCAUGCUGGAGUACUGAAGGGGUGACUAGAAUUCUCGGUGUAGCAGUGAAAUGCGUAGAUAUCGAGAGGAAGACCAAAGGCGAAGGCAGGUCACUGGGCAGUUACUGACACUGAGGCACGAAGGCCAGGGGAGCAAACGGG